RNAcentral lists this transfer RNA (73 nucleotides) under Vicugna pacos (alpaca). RNAcentral describes it as "tRNA-Ala (AGC) (tRNA-Ala-AGC-472-1)". It matches the Rfam family "tRNA". From Rfam's summary of the family: Transfer RNA (tRNA) molecules are approximately 80 nucleotides in length. Lineage: Eukaryota; Metazoa; Chordata; Mammalia; Artiodactyla; Camelidae. The record is from RNAcentral.
GGAGGGUAUAGCUCAGUGGUAGAGCGUGUGCUUAGCAUGCAUGAGGUCCUGGGUUCAAUCCCCAGUUCCUCCA